This 440-nucleotide ribosomal RNA is filed under the name uncultured bacterium. Its description in RNAcentral is "bacterial SSU rRNA". It matches the Rfam family "Bacterial small subunit ribosomal RNA", at positions 338 to 795 of the family's 1533-position model. The record is from RNAcentral.
CCUACGGGUGGCAGCAGUGGGGAAUAUUGGACAAUGGGCGAAAGCCUGAUCCAGCAAUGCCGCGUGAGUGAAGAAGGCCUUCGGGUUGUAAAGCUCUUUUACCCGGGAAGAUAAUGACUGUACCGGGAGAAUAAGCCCCGGCUAACUCCGUGCCAGCAGCCGCGGUAAUACGGAGGGGGCUAGCGUUGUUCGGAAUUACUGGGCGUAAAGCGCACGUAGGCGGCUUGGUAAGUUAGAGGUGAAAGCCCGGGGCUCAACCCCGGAAUAGCCUUUAAGACUGCCUCGCUUGAACGUCGGAGAGGUGAGUGGAAUUCCGAGUGUAGAGGUGAAAUUCGUAGAUAUUCGGAAGAACACCAGUGGCGAAGGCGGCUCACUGGACGACUGUUGACGCUGAGGUGCGAAAGCGUGGGGAGCAAACAGGAUUAGAUACCCUAGUAGUC